Molecule: non-coding RNA, 74 nt
Filed under: uncultured Phenylobacterium sp.
Lineage: Bacteria; Pseudomonadati; Pseudomonadota; Alphaproteobacteria; Caulobacterales; Caulobacteraceae
Description: ZMP/ZTP riboswitch
Rfam family: ZMP/ZTP riboswitch aptamer (pfl RNA motif)
About the family: Previously known as pfl RNA. ZMP is also known as AICAR.
Source: RNAcentral
CUCGCGUGACUGGCGAAACAGGUGGGCGACCACCGGGGAGCGCGAAGGGCCAUAGACGCCGCUCGCCUGGGCAC